RNAcentral lists this transfer RNA (85 nucleotides) under Pseudomonas putida. RNAcentral's name for it is "tRNA-Leu". It matches the Rfam family "tRNA". Rfam says of the family: Transfer RNA (tRNA) molecules are approximately 80 nucleotides in length. Their secondary structure includes four short double-helical elements and three loops (D, anti-codon, and T loops). RNAcentral also lists the same sequence under 6 other names. The record is from RNAcentral. Lineage: Bacteria; Pseudomonadati; Pseudomonadota; Gammaproteobacteria; Pseudomonadales; Pseudomonadaceae.
GCCCUGAUGGUGAAAUUGGUAGACACAUCGCACUUAAAAUGCGCCGUCGCGAGACGUGCCGGUUCGAGUCCGGCUCGGGGCACCA